AGUGGUGGAGUGAUGGUGUGAUGGUGUGGUGGAGUGGUGGGGUGAUGAGUGAUGGAGUGGUGGGGUGAUGGAGCGAUGGAGAGGUUUAGUGGUGGAGUGAUGGAGUGAUGGUGUGAUGGAGAGGUGGAGUGAUGGAGGAAUGGUGUGGCAGGGUGAUGGAGGAAUGGAGUGAUGGAGUGGUGGAGGAAUGGUGUGGUAGGGUGAUGGAGUGAUGGAGUGGUGGUGUGAUGGAGUGGUGGAGUGAUGGAGAAAUGGUGUGGUAGGGUGAUGGAGUGAUGGAGUGGUGGAGUGAUGGUGUGGUGGAGUGAUGGGGUGAUGGUGUGAUGGAGUGGUGGGGUGAUGAGUGAUGGAGUGGUGGGGUGAUGGAGCGAUGGAGAGGUGGGGUGAUGGAGUGAUGGUAUGGUGGAGUGGUGGAGU
This is a long non-coding RNA of Gasterosteus aculeatus aculeatus (three-spined stickleback), 417 nucleotides long. The record is from Ensembl. NCBI's taxonomy places the organism in Eukaryota, Metazoa, Chordata, Actinopteri, Perciformes, Gasterosteidae.